ACAUUCCAACUUCAUUUUGGAGUGACCAUUCCUAAAAGCAAAAAGACAGCAGUGACUCCGGAUCACUUUUUCUGCUGAGAUCAACUGCCUGCUACAAUGAUGAAUGUUUCUUUACUUUGGACUAAGCUGAAAUUCCUGGCUCCUUUCUUGUUUCCAAAAAGCAUGAAGGUUCCUUUACCCUCUUCCCUGGCAUGCAAUUUAGAAUUGGGCUCUCAGUCUUCAAGGACUUUGUGUUCCAGUGACACACUUCAUGAAGAAAGUGGAAGUAAGGAAAAAAAAAAAAAAAGUAACCGAGAAAGGUGCUCAGAGUCUCAAACAACAUUCCUAUGUAAGCCACUCCAAUUUUCUCAAACUUCUCCCGUCGUAAUCCUGAAGAAAGUCAUCUUUCUUUAUUCCAACCAUUGGCAUCAAUUUUUCUUUCUCCAUAGCCAGCAGUCAGAGCCACUGAGCUGAAAAAAUGCCUGUUCUCUCUCAGUAAUGCCUUCCAUCGAAGCCGAUGGUGUCCUGUCAGCAGCUUAUCCAGACAGAACCACCGGCGCCAUCUUCAUUAGGGGAAAAGCUAAUAUAAACAAAUAAGGUGUUAGUGUAGAUAGCAGACUGAGAGCAUUACUGAAAAAUGCUUUGCGGCAGUUGCUGUGCCUUUAGUUUUAAAAAUAUAUAAAUGUUAUAUGAAUCCCAAAUCCUCUUCUAUUUACAUAAAAUAUUUAUACAUCGAGCAAGACAAUUUCACAACUUUAUAAUGUAUUUUCCUGUUAGAUUAAUCUUUUCAUAUGGUAACCACAUUACAAGUAAACAUUUUCCUAGUCUCCACUACAUGAAUGUGGCUAAAAGCUUCCUUGUUAUUUUAUAGUUACAGCAUUUCAAAUGUAUCCCUUUUUGACGUGGUUAGGCAGCCUGCCAGUUUUACCACUAAAUUAUAGCAGAGAAAACACUCUGUAGAAUUUGAUUAGAUUUUUUUCCUUCUCCCCAUGAGUAAGGCAAAGCAAAUUUAUGUUCAAAAUGCAAGCUGGGUUCUAGAGAAUUGAAUAUAGAUCCAUACUUGUAGUGUUAAAAAUGCAUGCGAGUUUAGUAGUUGAAAAUACACCUUGUUUGUAGUGCUGCUUUAUAUUAUUGUUGCUUUUUGUUCUGUUUUGUCACUGACAUCUGUGGAAUGAUUGAAAAGCACUCGACCAUAUUGAAGUCAGGGUUGGUAUUUCAGUGAUGAAGAUGUCUUAGUCUCUUCUAUUAAUAAACAACUAUGUUAGUAAUGUGCUUAGACUAGA
This 1262-nucleotide long non-coding RNA is filed under the name Phasianus colchicus (ring-necked pheasant). Its description in RNAcentral is "lncRNA (ENSPCLG00000002046.1)". Lineage: Eukaryota; Metazoa; Chordata; Aves; Galliformes; Phasianidae. The record is from RNAcentral.